RNAcentral lists this ribosomal RNA (220 nucleotides) under uncultured bacterium. RNAcentral's name for it is "partial 16S ribosomal RNA". It matches the Rfam family "Bacterial small subunit ribosomal RNA", at positions 57 to 305 of the family's 1533-position model. The record is from RNAcentral.
GCAAGUCGAGCGAACUCUUCGGAGUUAGCGGCGGACGGGUUAGUAACGCGUGGGAAUAUACCCAAAGGUACGGAACAACAGUUGGAAACGACUGCUAAUACCGUAUGUGCCCUACGGGGGAAAGAUUUAUCGCCUUUGGAUUAGCCCGCGUUGGAUUAGGUAGUUGGUGGGGUAAAAGCCUACCAAGGCGACGAUCCGUAGCUGGUCUGAGAGGAUGAUC